Molecule: long non-coding RNA, 870 nt
Organism: Panicum virgatum (switchgrass)
Lineage: Eukaryota; Viridiplantae; Streptophyta; Magnoliopsida; Poales; Poaceae
Exons: 3
Source: RefSeq, a predicted model, not a curated record
AGCCGAUGCUGAUGACUACAGCGUGACUAGAUCACUAGAGGCAUACAUGUUGUGGUUGUUUGGGUACAUCAUGUUCAACAACUCAUACGGCCACUGUGUGGAUAGGGUGCUUGUGCCCUACGCACAGGAGAUCGCCGAUGCAGAUGAGGAUGCCAUACCCUUGUAUAGUUGGGGUUCAGCGGUUCUUGCAUGCACAUAUCGUGGACUCUGUAAGGCAUCUCGGCAGAAUGAUCGCAAUACUGUCCUAACGGGGUGCCCAAUUCUACUACAGCUUUGGUAUUACGAGAGUGUUACUACACCAGCUGCAGGGACUUUAGGAUCACAAUAGUUCACCGGAGCGGGGCCUUCUUCGUAUCAUCGUAUGCCGCCACCAGGAGGAUAUCAAGGAGUUUAUUCCUAUCCACCACCACCACCACCACCUCCAACACAGGGGUGGUCUCAAGACAACGACGAGGCCUCCUUCGACGACUUUACACGGUUGUUUGUUACGCCUGCCCAGGACGAUGAUCCCAGCUUGCAUACACCUCUGGCUCAGUUACGCCGUCCUGCCAGAGACGUGAGGCUACCGGACCAUCAUAGCUACACUACAGAUCAUGUAGACGCACAACGUAAAAGAGGUCGGCACGGUAGGGGUGGUUAGUUGUUGCCACUUGUUUCUCUAUUGUUAUUAUGGACAUGUCGUCUUGGUUUUCAUAUUUUGUACUCAAACUUCGUUUAUGCUACCUUGCAAUGCAAGCACACUUUUGUAGUACCAAUGAACUGUUAGACCAUUAUAUGUUAUAUGAAUAGUAUUACGACAAACCGAGAAUUUUUUUCAGAAUUUUUGGUGAAGCAAACGAGGGCCGGCGGCCUCUGGGUGGCGGUCGCCCC